RNAcentral lists this ribosomal RNA (496 nucleotides) under uncultured bacterium. RNAcentral describes it as "partial 16S ribosomal RNA". It matches the Rfam family "Bacterial small subunit ribosomal RNA", at positions 35 to 507 of the family's 1533-position model. The record is from RNAcentral.
GGGGGGGGUGGGGGGGUGGGUGGGGGGUGGAGGUCGGGCGAGCGGGUGAGGAGCUUGCUCCUCUGACGUUAGCGGCGGACGGGUGAGUAACACGUGGAUAACCUACCUAUAAGACUGGGAUCACUUCGGGCAACCGGAGCUAAUACCGGAUAAUAUAUUGAACCGCCUGGGUCACUCGUUAAAGACGGUUUUGCUGUCCCUUAUCGAUGGAUCCGCGCCGCAUUAGCUAGUUGGUAAGGUAACGGCUUACCAAGGCAACGAUGCGUAGCCGACCUGAGAGGGUGAUCGGCCACACUGGAACUGAGACACGGUCCAGACUCCUACGGGAGGCAGCAGGAGGGAAUCUUCCGCAAUGGGCGAAAGCCUGACGGAGCAACGCCGCGUGAGUGAUGAAGGUCUUCGGAUCGUAAAACUCUGUUAUUAGGGAAGAACAAAUGUGUAAGUAACUAUGCACGUCUUGACGGUACCUAAUCAGAAAGCCACGGCUAACUACGUG